This is a long non-coding RNA of Lolium rigidum, 5037 nucleotides long. RefSeq lists it as uncharacterized. Lineage: Eukaryota; Viridiplantae; Streptophyta; Magnoliopsida; Poales; Poaceae. The transcript is spliced from 5 exons. The record is from RefSeq and is a predicted model, not a curated record.
CCUGCCCUCUUCUUCCUCCUCCGACAUUCUACACGGCGGCCCUCCGGCGAGGCACGUCCCCGUCGCGGUCUUCCCUGGUGGGCUGCCUCCCGGCUUGCUCUGCUUGGUGGGGAGGAUGCGGACGAGGUGGCGGUGCUUCCGAGCGGCUCAGCGGAGCUCGGGGAGGCCGGCAGCCACGGCGAUUUGCGGACGGAGGAGACCAGCAGCCGGUCGAGGAUUCGAUGCGUGGCGUGGUUGGGCGGGCGGUUGGCCAAGCUCACGGACACCGGCUAUGGGAGGACCUUUUAUUCAACGGGCUCGGGCACGCGGCCGUCAUGGCGACCGAGGAGGUGGGGGGAGGAGCACAGCGACCCCAUCGAGCUUUGGAUUUGAUGGCCCGCUGUAAGAUGCCUCGCGUCCAUGGCAGCAACAUUCAACGCGUGGAGGUCGGUAAGGGGUCGCCCCUCCUCCUGUUCCUAGCUCUUCCUGUUGGAAGGCGAGCACGCUCCAGGGAGUGGUCCAUCACGCCUCUUUUGUUUCACAGCCUGAUCUGGUGACGACAAGUUCAUGUUCUCUUUUAUGAGUUUUCCCGGUCCAGACGUCCAGUUGAGAUACAUUGGUGCCUGCUUGGAUUGGCCUUAGGGUUGGAGUAUAUUCUCUAAUGGAAGUUGACACAGCUGGAUCUCCCUAACCCGAUUAAUUUAUCUGUUCAGCAAAGAUUCUUCACGCUCUGUGGGUUGAGAUGCUUGAAGGAGAGGCCGACCUGGCCGCCGCCGACGGAGCGGAAGAGGACGUGGUAGGCGAAGCCGAAGCCUUCGUCGCUGACCUUGAGUGUGCUGCUGAAGCCGUCGAUGGUGUUGAUGUCUGGCUCGGCCCUGUUGUCCGACUCCAUCGAGUUGAAGAUGGUGGGCUGCGGGCCGGCUUGGACGGAGCUGCGGAUGGUGGGGAACGGCAAAAGUUCAGUUGGCUGUUUGAAGCAGGCGGCAUUGCCAAAUCCCUCCCUGUGCGUCCUCAGCUGCAGCAAACAGUCAAUCUAGACAGUCCUUUAUCUUUUGCCUUUAAAAUUAACAUUAUCUCCUGUUAAACAUGGUCAUCAAUUACUUAGCAUGUAAGGAAUGUAUAUAUUUUCUCACUUAUUGUUAUCAAAGAAGUCAUAUAGUUGCAUGGUUUGAUUAACUUCACAAGGGACUAUUGUUUCAACAGUAAGUGAUACAAGAUAUUUUCUCUCUCUUCGAGUGUAAUAAAGUUGAAAAGUCAUUGAUGGCUAUUUUUUGUUUGCUUCAAGUCCAUGACAUUUUUUAUAUUCUUUUGGGACCAUGAACUAUUGAUUUGCAUGAGUAAAAAUGUAGGCAUCUGUACUGUAAAUUCAUUCUUUGUUUAUGGACAAUACUGCUAUUUAAUUUUGGCUAAAGGAAUAGGUAGUCCAACUCCACUUCUUAUUCUGAAUUUUCAGAAAUGCAUUCGUUUACUCCACGCUCAUACUGAUAUGCUCCUCACUACCUGAUGUGGUCAUAGGCAAGAAAUGUGUACUUAGUUGACAGGUUAGCCUCAGAACCUGCCACUCCCAUUUGUUAUAUCUUUGUCAAGCAACCAUCAUUGGUAAAAUUUACAUCAUGCAAAAUUCAAAGUGAAGUAGACAAGCAACUUGUGAUUUCUUUUAUGUACAUCUACUCAAAUGCGAAGUGAAGUAGAGCAGUUGCUGAUGAGUGUAGCACCUGUUGUUUCCUUCACAGAGAAAAUGAGCUGAACAUGUCUUUAAAUAGAGGUACACAAAUCCUUUCCCUAAUACAUCCUGUACUUUACCCAUUUUUAUUGAUAGAUUUGUUAGUUCCUUCCACCUUUUGCAUUCACAAAUGGAUUUAGCAUUCUGGCUUACACUAACUGUCGUAGCUUAUGUUAUCUGCAAGAACUUCAACUCCAUCCAUAUGUCUUGGUAGUGCAAACAAAAACAUCCGUUUUACCCCAUGUUAUCAACAUACCAAUGCCAUUAUUUAUAGAUAGUGAGAUAUAUAGGAAAUAUGGGCAAUUAAGUUAUUCUCUAGAUUUUUUUUGCCACUAUGGGAUUUUGAUCAUGUCUUUGUUACAAGGAAUCCCCAUUCCAACAACAGCUAUAUGCUCAUAUUUCAUAUCUGCAUUGACACCAGCGUUUGCGCCUCUUCCCCUCGAAAUCCGGCGAAUUGCUUGGCUAUCCCUCUGUCAAACACGAAGACCAGCGGCACAUCUAUUCGCUCCAUGCAGGGUGUCAUGGUCCAACCCCUUUCUUUCCACAUAUGACCAAUAAUUCAAGCCUUAGGUUCAUGAAAAAAAAAAUAGAAUCCAUGAUUAUUUCAUCAAACAACAUUAACUUUAUUUCAUCAAACAGCAUUAACUUAUAAUCUCACAUGUUUUAUUGAGUAAAAUAUCGCCACCUGGAGUUAUUCUUUACAUAAUAACACCUGUACUACAAGAUCUACAAGCUGUAUUGCAGAGUGUGUUGCUUCUUCUACAUUAAUUGCUAAAUUUGGUUAAUAUAGUACAUGCCAGUAAUAUCAGUAAGACCCAUGUGUAUAUCUAUGUAUUGAAAAAUAAGCAUUUCCUCAAAUCGCCUAUGCAAAUAAUCCAUUGUAAACCCCAUUGUAAAUCGCCUCUGCAAACAAUAGUUUUCACAAUUGCUUACAUAUGAGAACAUGUGUAAAUCCCAUUGUAGUGAUCUCUUUUCAUUUGCAAAUAUUAUAGAACAUACGUGUAUGAUAUAUAUGCACUCACAAAAAGGAGAUUAAUUGGUAUGAGUUGGUGAUUCAUACAUAUCUUCUAGACUAAAUUAGUUUCUACGAUGCUGCAACCAGUUGACUAAUUUUGAGGUACUAAUGUUGUCAGCAUUUCUGAGGUCUAGGACUUGCUACAUUCUGGCCUUUUAACAUCACAUCUACAUUUCAGUUGAUAGAGCAUGUACAUUUUACAUCUUAAUAAGUGAUGUGAUGCACAUAUGGGGUGUGGGUGAGCUCCUCAAGAAUUAAUUUGAGAUUGAGCAGAUCUCAAGAUUGGUCGUUUUUCCUCUAUUCCACCACUUUCUUGGUAUUUUUAGUUAGUCAUAGCGUGAGAAUUUUUGGCUGCCAGUUGUGAGAACAAAGACUUAACUUAUACUAGAGAUAGAAAGAGAGGUUCGGAUUAUGCAAAAAUAUGGUAUUGGGUAACUUUGUAUAAAGUCUACAAUAAAUAUGAUGGUUGUAUGCAAAAAAAUUCGUGAAUUUACAUGAUCUUCUGAAUUAUAUUUUGCAUACACUUUCUACCAGCCAUCAUGGAAACCUGUUGAACCAUGUUUUGCAUCGUUUUAUAUAAAUAAGAGUGGAUGAUCCCACAAAAUAAUAAUUUUCAUACGUACUAAUUCUUAAGUAAUGUGUAGUCCUUGUGAAGCUUGAUUGCAUUCACUUUAUAUCAGCCGUAUUGGAUAAGGUGUCUUUAUUUACUUAUCUAUUAAUUAGUAUAUUGCACUAACUUAUAUAUCAUAUACACUGUCUCCCGUAUAAUUUUGUUCUUCCUUUCUGCUCGAUAAUCUUAAAAUGUUGCCUUUGUGGAGAAAGUUAAAUAGAUGCUCCUAUAUGUGAACUUCUCUUUAAAAGCAUUUUUUUUUGUCAUGCCACUGCCUUUUAAGUUUUAAUUCAUGUUUCUUACAAUGUAUAGUUGAUUUUACCUUCCAUUACUGCGAAAGAACAAUUAUCAUACAUACUAAUUCAUUAGUAUGCUAUAAUUUCCUGGAUUAUAGUUUGCGUACACUAUACUAGCCACCAUGGAAACCUCCUGAGCCAUGUUUUGCCUCCUUUUAUAUUAAUCAGGGUGGACAAGGUAUUAGAAUGUUCUGUUGCCCCUGGUUGUUCUUUUUUCUUUUUUAGACAGUUAAUAUCAUAAAGAUGCUUCUUACAUGUUUAGACGAGUUUCUGAAGUCAAUUACUUAUUCCACGUUGGUAACACAAUUUAUUCCUUAGAUUGAUGUGGGGGUUGAACAAUUUUUUUACAAGGUUCCCACACAGAUGUUUCCCACGGCUAAAAUGCAGUUUCAUAGACAGUUUUUGGUAGGUUCAAGAAAGUAUAUCAGUGGAAGGAAACUGUUAUGUGAUGUGUACAUUCUUUUAUAGCUGUGGGCUGCGAUUGAGGGACAGCACAUGCUUUUGGCAUACUUUUGCAAUGUUGCUUCUCCACUUUCCCCAGGAUUCAGCUAUGCUGUUGUGUCCUUGUGUUUUAGGGUGCAAAUAUAGAGAGUAAAAACACUUCCAGGUCAGGACAUGAUAACAACUAUAAAUUUGUGAGAUCCAAAGUACAUCAGCUACUUAUUCAGCUAGCACUCAGUUAACUUACGUGUUAAUAUUCAGUUAGCUUAAAUUCAAUUGCCAUCAGAUACAUAUUAGUGCAUUAUUUGGUUAUUAUUCAGAUAACACACACCUUACACUUUUAGCCUGCAGUUUGUGUCUGGUCGUUCGUUUUCCCAGCUGCUGCUUCCGUUGGUGUUUCUUCUGUGCUUACUCCUUAGCCUGCUGCUCGGGAUGCUGCUUCUUCCUUUGUUGCUUUGUCUGAUGUGGAUGCUCGCAGGCGAGAUAUUCUGCCUGGCAAGCAGACGGUUGGUUGUUCUGAAGGGCCUCCUUUUCCUGCAUGGUUUAAUCACUCUGCUUUUUUUCUCUUGACUUUGUUUAGUGACUUCACUGCAGAUCAUUUGGAGCAUGUCCUUCCUCUUGGCCCUUCAGUUUAUUCUUCAAGGAAAGAUCAGGGACAAUACUAGAUAAACAGUGAUGGGACGAAUGUGUUCCUGUUAAGGAGUUCGUGGAGGCAUUUCAGUCUUCCCACGUUGGUCAGGCUAUAAAUAGUGAGUUAGCACUCCAUUGACUGUGUUGCCUAGAAUAUGUACACAAAUAUGUUUCUUUCAUGAGCAAUAUCUCCCUUUAAGGCUAGCUUCACGUUGGUCUUUCAUGAGCAAUCCUCCAGCUGCUCUGUAGACUCGGCAAUUUGUGGUUCAUUGACUGAUGAAAAUUUGUUGCACCCUAAUUGACUUAUCAGAUGAUGCACUCUGCUUUGAAAUACACAAUCAAG